AGUGAACGCUGGCGGUAGGCCUAACACAUGCAAGUCGAACGGCAGCACAGUAAGAGCUUGCUCUUACGGGUGGCGAGUGGCGGACGGGUGAGGAAUACAUCGGAAUCUACUUUUUCGUGGGGGAUAACGUAGGGAAACUUACGCUAAUACCGCAUACGACCUACGGGUGAAAGCAGGGGAUCUUCGGACCUUGCGCGAAUGAAUGAGCCGAUGUCGGAUUAGCUAGUUGGUGGGGUAAAUGCCCACCAAGUCGACGAUCCGUAGCUGGUCUGAGAGGAUGAUCAGCCACACUGGAACUGAGACACGGUCCAGACUCCUACGGGAGGCAGCAGUGGGGAAUAUUGGACAAUGGGCGCAAGCCUGAUCCAGCCAUACCGCGUGGGUGAAGAAGGCCUUCGGGUUGUAAAGCCCUUUUGUUGGGAAAGAAAAGCAGCAGGUUAAUACCCCGCUGUUCUGACGGUACCCAAAGAAUAAGCACCGGCUAACUUCGUG
This 492-nucleotide ribosomal RNA is filed under the name uncultured bacterium. Its description in RNAcentral is "partial 16S ribosomal RNA". It matches the Rfam family "Bacterial small subunit ribosomal RNA", at positions 29 to 507 of the family's 1533-position model. The record is from RNAcentral.